This 439-nucleotide ribosomal RNA is filed under the name uncultured bacterium. Its description in RNAcentral is "partial 16S ribosomal RNA". It matches the Rfam family "Bacterial small subunit ribosomal RNA", at positions 338 to 795 of the family's 1533-position model. The record is from RNAcentral.
CCUACGGGACGCAGCAGUGGGGAAUAUUGCACAAUGGGGGAAACCUGAUGCAGCGACGCCGCGUGAGCGAUGAAGUAUUUCGGUAUGUAAAGCUCUAUCAGCAGGGAAGAAAAUGACGGUACCUGACUAAGAAGCCCCGGCUAACUACGUGCCAGCAGCCGCGGUAAUACGUCGGGGGAAAGCGGUAUCCGGAUUUACUGGGGGUAAAGGGAGCGUAGACGGCGAUGCAAGCCAGAUGGGAAAGCCCGGGGCUCAACCCCGGGACUGCAUUUGAAACUGGAUGGCUGGAGUGUCGAAGAGGCAGGCGGAAUUCGUAGGGUAGCGGUGAAAUGCGUAGAUAUUAGGAGGAACACCAGUGGCGAAGGCGGCCUGCUGGGCGAUGACUGACGUUGAGGCUCGAAGGCGUGGGGAGCAAACAGGAUUAGAUACCCUAGUAGUC